Long non-coding RNA from Anneissia japonica, 1479 nucleotides. RefSeq lists it as uncharacterized. The record is from RefSeq and is a predicted model, not a curated record. The transcript has 3 exons. NCBI's taxonomy places the organism in Eukaryota, Metazoa, Echinodermata, Crinoidea, Comatulida, Comatulidae.
AACAGCUGAUUGACUGCACAGUGCACAUGCUGUUAGACCUUUAAUCUUUUUUAGUAUUUUGUGCGCUGUUCUGUUCAUUUUGUAAUUGCUUUUAAUCCUUAAUCAAGUAACUCAAAUAAUUAAUAUGAGUAGUGAGGAUGAACAUGUUGUUGUAAACCUGGAGCACACAAAAAAAAGAAAGAAGAAUGCAUCAGAAUGGAAGAGAAACAAGACUAAACUAAAGCGAUAUUCUGGUGAAGGUAAAAAUCCAAAUACAAACUGCAACCAUGACGGUCCUCGUAGCUAUUGCAGAAAGCAGGAUUUUGAACCAGCAGACAUCAGGGCUGUUUUUGAUGAUUUUUAUGUUGAUUCUGAUAAGCAACGUCAUGACCAAUUUCUUUCAUCUCUAAUUAUUCUGAGACCUGUAAAGCGCACAAGGGUUGCCGAAAACCAGCGAAAGAGGAACAUUUAAUACUCUAUUCAUUAUCAGAUUACCAGUGAAGACGGAUAUUAUCAUGAAGUAUGUAAUAAGACAUUUUUGGCGAUUCUCUGUGUCAGCCCCGAUAGAAUGAAGAGGAUUGCAGCACACAAGUGGACCACAAAUAAUCCACGCUCUGAAAAAAGAGGUGGAGCGCGAGUAAAACCUGGAUACGCUGAUCUCAAAGAAGAGAUUAAAGAACACAUCAGCAAGUUCCGCUGUGUUUCCUCCCAUUAUGGCAGAGGCAAGACACCUCAUAAAAAGUACCUACCGAGCCAUCUAAGUGUUAUGAAAAUGUAUAAACUAUUUUUACAGAACUAUGAAGGGCAAAUUGAUGUAAAAUACACAUACUAUUACAAUAUCUUUGUGGGUUGUUUUAACCUAGGAUUUGGGAAUCCCACCAAAUUGAAGGCAUCAAUAAAAGUAACCAACGAUGAAGAACAAAAGAAAGAUCUUGUCACAGAGCUACUUGUUCAUAAGAUGCGAGCAAGAAAGUUUUACAGUUUGCUUAAGGAAGAACAUGAUGACUCUGUUCUCACUAUCUGGCCUGAUGCAAAAUCAAGCGUUGCCAAAAUCGCCCAUUGGCGAAGCGUAUUAUGCCUGUCAGCUUUGUCUAUACCUUUUAGGCGUCGUCAUUCACCUUCCUGGUGAACAGAAGAGGGAUGACGUCUAUUUUUAUACGUGGGGAGAACACCAGCAAGGUAGAGGUGCUAAUUCAGUUGCAAGUGCAAUCUCGCAUUUUUUAGGUCGUUGUCUGCAAGCACCAAACAAUAUAAAGACAAUUCGCAUUUUCAGCGACUCCUGUGUUGGUCAAAACAAGAACUUUAAUGUAUUAUCAGCAUUACACAUACUGGCAUCAAAGCACAAUGUCACAUUUAAGUAUGUAUUUCCAGUGCGAGGCUGUGAUGUUCUUGGUCGGACAACAUAUGAAUGAACAACAGACGAACGUUUAACUCAACUAAUACUACACUUUAAUCAACACUUAUGUUACAGGUUGCUUCCGGUUUGAUGGCGUGGUAAAA